UUAAUCAAAGCCAAAGAGAGGCGUGUUUCUGUUAAAAACAUAAUUGAACUGUAGGGUCUGAUUAAU
This 66-nucleotide transfer RNA is filed under the name Brueelia nebulosa. RNAcentral describes it as "tRNA-Asn". The record is from RNAcentral. Lineage: Eukaryota; Metazoa; Arthropoda; Insecta; Psocodea; Philopteridae.